ACUAUUUCAUGACUAACAACCAACCGCCGCAGGAAGAAGUGGUUUCGCAUUUCUCGGUGCGCGCUCGUCUGUCAUCUUUUUCUUCUCCUCCCGAAGCUCUCGUCCCUGUAUCUCUCGAGCUGGAGUGCUUCCCGUUUAUGGUCACCUUUAAUCCUUUUCCCUUUGGAGAGGCUGAAGUCAGCUUCAGGGCCGUGUGUGAGGCUCCGAGGGCAUUUCUUUGCAUUCCUCAUUCAUGUCUGGCUCGUUCCCAUGAGAAAGUCUCAGCCUACACCUCUGACACCAUGAAACGGCCACAGAAGAAACGACAAUGGUCCGAGCAGCAUCAGAGGCGGUGUGUGUGUGUGUGGGUGCGUGUGUGUGUGUGUGUCUGUGUGUGUCGGAGCACAGUGAAUCAUACAGUUCAAUAUUAGCAACAGUGAUGCUCUGUGCGAGUCUGUGGGAGAGCUUCAGGGUUUGUGUUCUUGCACUGUUGUGAAGACCAAUUACAUUUGAGUGAAACCCUUUGCUAGGAUAAUGAGAACAUACUGGCUGUUCCUUCGUUUCAUCCAAUAAUAAAUCAUAACUAAUUGACA
This is a long non-coding RNA of Pleuronectes platessa (European plaice), 572 nucleotides long. RefSeq lists it as uncharacterized. NCBI's taxonomy places the organism in Eukaryota, Metazoa, Chordata, Actinopteri, Pleuronectiformes, Pleuronectidae. The transcript is spliced from 3 exons. The record is from RefSeq and is a predicted model, not a curated record.